AGAGUUUGAUCAUGGCUCAGAUUGAACGCUGGCGGCAUGCCUUACACAUGCAAGUCGAACGGCAGCGCGGGAGCAAUCCUGGCGGCGAGUGGCGAACGGGUGAGUAAUAUAUCGGAACGUGCCCUGUAGCGGGGGAUAACCUAUCGAAAGAUGGACUAAUACCGCAUACGCUCUACGGAGGAAAGCGGGGGUCGCAAGACCUCGCACUAUAGGAGCGGCCGAUAUCGGAUUAGCUAGUUGGCGGGGUAAAAGCCCACCAAGGCGACGAUCCGUAGCUGGUCUGAGAGGAUGAUCAGCCACACUGGAACUGAGACACGGUCCAGACUCCUACGGGAGGCAGCAGUGGGGAAUUUUGGACAAUGGGCGCAAGCCUGAUCCAGCCAUGCCGCGUGAGUGAAGAAGGCCUUCGGGUUGUAAAGCUCUUUCGGCAGGAACGAAAUGGUUCGUGCUAAUACCACGGACUGAUGACGGUACCUGAAGAAGAAGCACCGGCUAACUACGUGCCAGCAGCCGCGGUAAUACGUAGGGUGCAGGCGUUAAUCGGAAUUACUGGGCGUAAAGCGUGCGCAGGCGGUUUCUUAAGUCAGAUGUGAAAGCCCCGGGCUUAACCUGGGAACUGCGUUUGAAACUGGGAGACUUGAGUGUGGCAGAGGGGGGUGGAAUUCCACGUGUAGCAGUGAAAUGCGUAGAUAUGUGGAGGAACACCGAUGGCGAAGGCAGCCCCCUGGGUUAACACUGACGCUCAUGCACGAAAGCGUGGGGAGCAAACAGGAUUAGAUACCCUAGUAGUCC
RNAcentral lists this ribosomal RNA (792 nucleotides) under uncultured bacterium. RNAcentral describes it as "bacterial SSU rRNA". It matches the Rfam family "Bacterial small subunit ribosomal RNA", at positions 8 to 796 of the family's 1533-position model. The record is from RNAcentral.